Molecule: ribosomal RNA, 253 nt
Filed under: uncultured bacterium
Lineage: Bacteria
Description: partial 16S ribosomal RNA
Rfam family: Bacterial small subunit ribosomal RNA
Source: RNAcentral
UACGUAGGGUGCAAGCGUUAAUCGGAAUUACUGGGCGUAAAGCGUGCGCAGGCGGCUUUGCAAGACAGAUGUGAAAUCCCCGGGCUUAACCUGGGAACUGCGCUUGUUACUGGCAGGCUGGAGUGUGGCAGAGGGGGGUGGAAUUCCACGUGUAGCAGUGAAAUGCGUAGAGAUGUGGAGGAACACCGAUGGCGAAGGCAGCCCCCUGGGCUAACACUGACGCUCAUGCACGAAAGCGUGGGGAGCAAACAGG